UAUGUCUAAGUUCGUAUAACUUGCCCUUGAUUCUCAGAAAUCAUCUAGUUUCAACCUGAAGAUGAUGUUUCAUUCUCCCAAGUCAUCCAUUUAAUUUAUGGAUGCCAUGUGAAAGUGUUGUACUAUUGUGGAUUUGCUAAUUUCUUUGUGGUCUUAUUGUUUGUUGUUUUUUUUUUUGAAUCAGGAAGUGUUUCGGAUAGCAGCUAAGGCGGUCGUUCUUGACGUCAAGUCUCAUAUGAAGAUAAUGAAGAGAUGCGAGAUGGAAGGAAAACCUUACGAAAUCCUCGACGAGAGGACUGUUGUUAUCAAGUUUAAAUCAAAAGAUAUUGAUGCCGUUGAAUUUGAAGGUUCACCUAUUCGAACUUGGAGGGGAAUUUGGGGGAAGGUUAUUAAGAAUUCGUAAAAGGACGGAAUUUCUGUGGUCUUCCGUACACAGUCAAAUGCAUGCUGGAUCAUUUUUAUGUUUUCCACAGUUGUCUGGCGGAAAAAAGAAAGGGGACUGCUAGGAUUGAUGGACAUUUGAGAAGAAAAUUUGUAAGCGUGAUACUUUUACCAUGCUUGUAUUUUGUCAAGUUGGGGCUCCUCGCCACAAGGAGUUGGCAUUAAAGGCUGUUAUUCUGCAGAGAAGUUUGCUCCUGAUCUAUCUUGCUAUGCUCAUCAGCUUGUGCAAGGUCUCAAAUAACAUGUGUCUGGAUAAAGGCCUACUGAGUGUAUGAUCUGCACCGAAUUAUUGCUAUAUGUGUAGAAACAUAGCUCUGAGACUGAGCUUCAGUGAGAAUACGGUACAUUAUAGGAUCUUGUAG
This is a long non-coding RNA of Papaver somniferum (opium poppy), 803 nucleotides long. RefSeq lists it as uncharacterized. The transcript has 5 exons. The record is from RefSeq and is a predicted model, not a curated record. NCBI's taxonomy places the organism in Eukaryota, Viridiplantae, Streptophyta, Magnoliopsida, Ranunculales, Papaveraceae.